This 119-nucleotide ribosomal RNA is filed under the name Brassica rapa (field mustard). The record is from RNAcentral. Lineage: Eukaryota; Viridiplantae; Streptophyta; Magnoliopsida; Brassicales; Brassicaceae.
GGGUGCGAUCAUACCAGCUCUAAUGCACUGGAUCCCAUCAGAACUCUGCAACUAAGCGUGGUUGGAUGAGACUAGUACUAGGAUGGGCGACCUCCCGUGAAGUCCUCAUGUUGCACUCC